GACGAACGCUGGCGGCGUGCCUAACACAUGCAAGUUGAGCGACGAACCAGGGCUUGCCCUGGGGCAAAGCAGCGAACGGGUGAGUAACACGUGGGUAACCUACCCCGAUAACCGGGACAACCCGAGGAAACUCGGGCUAAUACCGGAUGUGCUCACUGGACUUCGGUUCAGUGCGUAAAGGAAGCUUCGGCCUCCGUAUCGGGAGGGGCCCGCGGCCCAUUAGUUUGUUGGUGAGGUAACGGCUCACCAAGACCGCGAUGGGUAGCUGGUCUGAGAGGACGAUCAGCCACGCUGGGACUGAGACACGGCCCAGACUCCUACGGGAGGCAGCAGUGGGGAAUCUUGCGCAAUGCGCGAAAGCGUGACGCAGCAACGCCGCGUGGGGGAAGAAGGCCUUCGGGUUGUAAACCCCUUUCAGGAGGUACGAAGGUUCGGCGGUGAAUAGCCGUCCGGACUGACGGUACCUCCACAAGAAGCCCCGGCUAACUACGUG
Molecule: ribosomal RNA, 493 nt
Filed under: uncultured bacterium
Lineage: Bacteria
Description: partial 16S ribosomal RNA
Rfam family: Bacterial small subunit ribosomal RNA
Source: RNAcentral